Long non-coding RNA from Passer domesticus (house sparrow), 348 nucleotides. RefSeq lists it as uncharacterized. The record is from RefSeq and is a predicted model, not a curated record. The transcript is spliced from 2 exons. Lineage: Eukaryota; Metazoa; Chordata; Aves; Passeriformes; Passeridae.
GUUGCAUUCUACCUCUUUACUUCCUGUUUGCUUAGGAGUCAGAUUGGGCAUGUCAAUGAUUCUUACAUAUGUAUAGACAUCAAUCAGCCCUUUCACACCAAAAUAACCAGAAAAUAGGUGGAGGUGAAUGCUAUUUAGGUCACUCUGAGCCACUGCAGAGGCAGUUAACAAUAAGGAAAAGCAUUUCCAAAUGGGUCAUCACUGUGCCAUGGACUUACGUAGGAUGCAAUUUUCAAGGGCUGGAGAGAGCUGGCAACUGCCUAGGAAAAAAAUGAGUUCAUAUUGGGGCUGGUCCUCAUCUCACAUCUCAAAAGGAAAGGAGCAUAAAUAAAUAAAUAUUUUUUCCAA